UAACGGCGAGUGAAGCGGCAACAGCUCAAAUUUGAAAUCUGGUCCCUAGGGCCCGAGUUGUAAUUUGUAGAGGAUGCUUUUGGUGAGGUGCCGCCCGAGUUCCCUGGAACGGGACGCCACAGAGGGUGAGAGCCCCGUCUGGCUGGCCGCCGAGCCUCUGUAAAGCUCCUUCGACGAGUCGAGUAGUUUGGGAAUGCUGCUCAAAAUGGGAGGUAUAUGUCUUCUAAAGCUAAAUAUUGGCCAGAGACCGAUAGCGCACAAGUAGAGUGAUCGAAAGAUGAAAAGCACCUUGAAAAGAGGGUUAAAUAGUACGUGAAAUUGUUGAAAGGGAAGCGCUUGUGACCAGACUUGGGCGCGGCGGAUCAUCCGGGGUUCUCUCCGGUGCACUUCGCCGCGUCUAGGCCAGCAUCAGUUCGUCGCGGGGGAAAAAGGCUCCGGGAACGUGGCUCCUCCGGGAGUGUUAUAGCCCGUUGCAUAAUACCCUGCGGUGGACUGAGGACCGCGCAUCUGCAAGGAUGCUGGCGUAAUGGUCACCAGCGACCCGUCUUGAAACACGGACCAAGGAGUCGUCUUCGUAUGCGAGUGUUCGGGUGUCAAACCCCUACGCGUAAUGAAAGUGAACGCAGGUGAGAGCUUCGGCGCAUCAUCGACCGAUCCUGAUGUUCUCGGAUGGAUUUGAGUAAGAGCAUACGGGGCCGGACCCGAAAGAAGGUGAACUAUGCCUGUAUAGGGUGAAGCCAGAGGAAACUCUGGUGGAGGCUCGCAGCGGUUCUGACGUGCAAAUCGAUCGUCAAAUAUGG
This 800-nucleotide ribosomal RNA is filed under the name Trichoderma harzianum. RNAcentral describes it as "partial large subunit ribosomal RNA". It matches the Rfam family "Eukaryotic large subunit ribosomal RNA", at positions 84 to 914 of the family's 3401-position model. Lineage: Eukaryota; Fungi; Ascomycota; Sordariomycetes; Hypocreales; Hypocreaceae. The record is from RNAcentral.